RNAcentral lists this ribosomal RNA (608 nucleotides) under uncultured bacterium. RNAcentral's name for it is "bacterial SSU rRNA". It matches the Rfam family "Bacterial small subunit ribosomal RNA", at positions 368 to 989 of the family's 1533-position model. The record is from RNAcentral.
GCAAUGGGCGAAAGCCUGACCCAGCAACGCCGCGUGAGGGAGGAAGGUUUUCGGAUUGUAAACCUCUGUCCUUAGGGAAGAGGGAAGUGACGGUACCUAAGGAGGAAGCCCCGGCUAACUACGUGCCAGCAGCCGCGGUAAUACGUAGGGGGCGAGCGUUGUCCGGAAUGACUGGGCGUAAAGGGCGUGUAGGCGGCCGACUAAGUCUGAUGUGAAAUACCCGCUUUUAAGGUGGGUCGUGCAUUGGAAACUGGAUGGCUAGAGUGCGGAAGAGGUAAGUGGAAUUCCCAGUGUAGCGGUGAAAUGCGUAGAGAUUGGGAGGAACAUCAGUGGCGAAGGCGACUUACUGGGCCGCAACUGACGCUGAGGCGCGAAAGCGUGGGGAGCAAACAGGAUUAGAUACCCUGGUAGUCCACGCUGUAAACGAUGAAUGCUAGGUGUAGGGGGUAUCGACCCCUCCUGUGCCGCAGUUAACACAAUAAGCAUUCCGCCUGGGGAGUACGGCCGCAAGGUUGAAACUCAAAGAAAUUGACGGGGGCCCGCACAAGCAGCGGAGCAUGUGGUUUAAUUCGAAGCAACGCGAAGAACCUUACCAGGUCUUGACAUCC